Ameiurus melas (black bullhead) is the source of this 73-nucleotide non-coding RNA. NCBI's taxonomy places the organism in Eukaryota, Metazoa, Chordata, Actinopteri, Siluriformes, Ictaluridae. The record is from the annotation of a GenBank genome assembly.
UGCACGGUGGAUUAGGGGUUAGAACAUUCACCUCACCCCUCCAGGGUUGCGGGUUCGAUUCCCGCCGCUGCCC